Molecule: long non-coding RNA, 4778 nt
Organism: Callithrix jacchus (white-tufted-ear marmoset)
Lineage: Eukaryota; Metazoa; Chordata; Mammalia; Primates; Cebidae
Source: RefSeq, a predicted model, not a curated record
GCUUAUUUUUGUGGGCGCUCGGGCGCCGCCGUCCUGGCGGUAGUUCGAACUCGGUGUCUAGUCUCUAGCGACUUCUUAGGCUUUGGCUCUCCCUGCUGUCUACUCUCCAUUCUCGCCAGUUCUGGACAGGGGGACUCAGCAGUCAAAACAAAGCACUGAAUUGAAUCCUGCUGGUUGCUGGAAUUUAGCAGUAGUGGAAGCCAGCUGGUGGCAGCAGAAAAGACAGGAUAGAGGAUGCAAGGUGGCAGCAAAGAAUGCCUGAAUUCUAGAAGAUCAAGGCUCAAGUACCAUCACAGCUCACUUCAGCCUCAACUUUCUGGGCAAGUAAUCCUCCCAACUCAGCUUCUGAAGUAUCUGGGACAACAGCUGGCUUCCCAUCCAUUUGCUGAGAGCUACUUCGACCAUUCAAUAAAACCUUGCACUCAUUCUCCAAGCCCACAUAUGAUCCAACUUUUCCAGUACACCAAGAGAGAGGGUCUCUCACACUGUCACCCAGGCUGGAGUGCAGUGGUGCAAUCAUAGCUCAUUGUAGGGCUCAAGCAAUCCUCCUGCCUCGGCCUCCUGAAUAUCUAGAAGUACAGCUCUUGAUGCUUGGGCUUAAGAGUCCCAUGUGGCAAGGACUUGAAGGCAUCUUCUGGCCAACAGCCAGUGACGAACUGAGGCCCCCAGACCAAUAGCCUGUGAUAAAUGGAAUCCGGCUCACAACCACAUGAAUGAACUUAGAGGUAGGUCCUUCCCCAGUUGAACCUUGAGAUGACUGCCACUGUAGCCAACACCUUGACUUCCACCUUGUGAGAGGCCCUGAGCCAGAAGACCCAGCUAUGCCACACAGAUUCUUGACCCACAGAAAUGGUAAGAUCAUAAAUAUUGUUAUUUCAAGCCACUAAGUUUUGGGAGUAAUUUGCUAUUCAACAGUGGAUAACUAAUACUCCAAUCGAGAAUAGCAAUAAUCCCAAUUUAUUUUGCAUAUAUUUAGCCAUAUCUGCAUCACUGUUUCCAUUUAUGGCCAUGAUUCCUUAAGAGGAAUACUGAGACAAACCAGAAGGUACCCAAAAGAAGACUACUGAGGUGGGGAGGGGUGGUAAAAGAUCUGGGAAAUAUGUCAUUGAAGAACAGGUGAAUGAAUUGGGUGUGUUAUACCUGAAAAUUGAUCUAUAAUGUUUUUUUAAGUUUAAAAAAGACAGUGGAAAAGAAGCUGGAACUAGGAGCAAUAGAAAUCACUAAGACUUAGAAACCCAAAACCUCCUGGAGCCCAAUUUAUAAACAGAAGAUUUCAUGGGAGACUUUUCUCUUCUCCAUCUGAGGCCAAGAGCAGGAAAUUUCUUUAAGGUUUGCUCUGGGAUGGUUAAUUUGUUCUGCUUCACCCUCUGAGGGUCCAAUUUCUAAGUCUCUGAGCUUUAUAUUCUGUCCCCAAAGAUGGCCUGUUAUAGUGACACCUCUGGAGCACCUAAGAUCAGCAGAUGACAUCAGGAAAGCCACCAGCUUUAGAGCUUUAGCUUUAGAGCUCUCUUACCUCUCUGGAUUUGUGUUUUUACAUCCUGUAUUUUUUUUAAACUCUAAGGAUUUCCCUUAUUUUCUACUAUUGCAACUAUGCAUUUAUGAAAUGUUUUAAAUUUGUUAUUCUAUAUUUUGGGUCUUUUUGUACUAGGAUGGUUUUUUCAGGAUGGCUAAUAGGCUAUAUUGCUGGGAAUGGAAGUGCCUAUGAACUUUUCUUUUUAAAUGUUGUAAAACGUACAUAAUAUAACAAUUUGCAUUUUAACUAUUUUUAGGUAUACAAUUCAGUGGCAUUAUGUAUAUUUACAACAUUGUAUAACAGUCACCAUUAUCUGUUUCCAGAACUUUUUCAUCUUCCCAAAAAACAGAAUAUUUUAACCCAUUAAACAAUGACUCCCCAUUUUGCUUCCUGUAUAGCCCCUGAUAACUUCCUAUGGACCUGUUUUAAAAUGAAAAGUUAUUGCAGAUUUUGAGAAUACAUCUGCAGAACUCCAGAUAUUCUCAGACCCUAAAUUAAGAAAAAAUGGUCAAAGACCAUACAUUUUUAUUUUUUGAGAUAAGGUCUCUGGCAUCUAGGUUGCAGUGAAGUGGCAUGGUCAUAGCUCACUAUAACCUUGACCUCCCAGGCUCAAGCAAUCCUCCUGCCUCAGCCUCCUAAGUAGCUGGGACCACAGGGGCACACCGCGAUGUCUGGCUAAUUUUUAAACUUCUUGUGGAGAUGGGGUCUCGCUUUAUUGCACAGGCUGGUCUCAAACUCCUAGCCUUAAGUGAUCCUCCCACCCUGGCCUCCCAAAGUGCAGGGAUUAUACACAUGAGCCACUGUGCAUGGCCCAAAGACUAUAUAUUUAACAUUGUGGAAUCACACCAGGAAAGUGCUGUUGAUUACUGAUGUGCUCUGGGCCCAUAACCAGUGCCUUUUAAAGUUGAAAUGUGCUGCCAAUAUUCAUAUUUAAGAAAUUGCAAUUUGUUUCUUCUACCAUUCUCCAGAUGCCAUGCUGCUUCCUAAUUUUACCUUUACAAUUUUCAGCAAAAGACAAAUUCAUAAAAACCAAAAAAACCUCCUGCAGGAAAUAUCUGAUAUAGGCUGGUAGAUAUGGCUAAGAGGAGUAAGACAAAAGCUUACUACUACAUUUUAGGUGACAGAUUGGUCAAAUGUUUGUACUGGUACACAGUCACUAAAAGGAAAUAGCCACUCAGUGGUACCUUUUCUCUAGGAAAGUUCAGUUAACUUUAUAACUGAGGAUAUAUGAGAGAACAAGAUACGUCACUGGCUAAGCAUUCUUUCAUUCUCUCUCCGUAACUAUCUAGUAAAGAGAAUUUUGUCUUUGCUAUUCUAUUCUGCAUCUUUUAUGACGUGGAAUUGGGAGAAUGAGAUGGACUUAGAAAGACGUGGCCCUAAGAAGGGGUGUGUAAGAGGAAAAGAUUUAGUAAAAAGCCAAGUCAUGCCUGGGAUUAAAAUUAAAAGAAAAGAGAGAUGAAAGAAAAGUACUUGCUGGAUGCCACAGUGAGUUUUAGGGUUUGGACAGUGAAGGAUACUGUAGCAGAAUGGGGGAGGAGAAAAAAGCUGGCUUUAGGAUGGGUGUUGUCAGUUAUGAUUUGGACGGCCUUUGAUGUUCUUUGUUGUUUUCACUUUUUUCUUUUCUUUUGAGGUGUUGCUCAUGUACAGUCAGGUGCACAACCUUAAGGGCUGAACUCAAUGAGUUUUUACAUGUGUCUACACCUGUGUCACCGCCACCCAGAUCGAAAUACAGAAUAGAGCAGAACCUCACAUGCCUUCUUCCUCAUCCCCUUCCCAGUACUCACCCAACCAAGAAAUAAUCACUUUUCUGGUUUCUAGCACCAUAGAUUAAUUUUUGUCCGUUUUUUAACCUCAUAAAAAUGGAAUCGUACACCGGGCACAGUGGCUCAUGCCUGUAAUCCCAGCACUUUGGGAGGCCAAGGCAGGCAGAUCACUUGAGGUCAGGAGUUCGAGAUCAGCCUGACCAACUGGGUGAAACCCCGUCUCUACUAAAAAUACAAAAAUUAGCCAGGCAUGGUGGUGGAUGCUACUCAAGGGGCUGAGGCAGGAGAAUUGCUUGAACCCAGGAGGUGGAGGUUGCAGUGAGCCAAGAUCGCACCACUGCACUCUAGCCUGGGCAACAGAGUGAGACUCUGUCUCUAAAUAAAUACAUAAAUAAAUAAAUGGAAUCAUACAGUGUGCACUCUUUUGUGUCUAAUUCCUUAAGUGUUUUUUUGAGACAGGGUCUUACUCUGUUGCCCAGGCUGGAGUGCAGAGGUGUGAACAUGGCUCACUGCAGCCUCAACCUCCUGGGCACAAGUAAUCCUCCCACCUUAGCCACCGGAGUAGCUGGGACCACAGGCAUGUGCCACUACACCUAAUUAUUUUAUUUUUUAUAGAGGCAGAGUCUCACCAUGUUGUCUGGGCUCAUCUUAAACUCCUAGACUCAAGCAAUCCUCCCGACUUGGCCUCCCAAAGUGCUGGGAUAACAGGCAUGGGCUGCUGCGUGGCUUUAGUCUGAUUUCCUUCACUCAGCAUUAUAUCUACAAGAUUGAUUGAUAUUGUUUUAUAUAGCAAAAUAAGUUUUUAAAAGCACUGCAUUGUAGUUCAUAAAUUAUUCAUAUGUUCUAUAGUUGAUGGAUAUUUGUUUGUUAGAGCAUUUGGUUAUUAUGAAUAACAGUGCUAUGAAUAUUCUUGUCUGUAUUUGCUGGAGGAUGUAAAACACUCAUUUACGUUGAGUGUCUGUUCAGGUGUGGAAUUGCUGGGUCAUAAAGUGGACAUAUCUGUUGCUUUAGUAUUUUCUGUCAGGCAGUUUUCUAAAGUGGAUGUACCAGAGUACACUCCCACCAGCAAUGUGAGACAGUUCCAGUUACACUUAUCCUUACCUGGACUUGACAUUUUCAGUCCCUUAAUUUGAGUCACUUUUAAUGUUUUCUGCAGGGGCAUAAGCAGGGAUUAGAAAUCCUUUUAAAUUAUUUUAGUUCUUAAAUUCUGUUUUAGUGUAAAGGAUUCUAUACACAAUCUGGGUACAUGAAGCUUUGGAACUUACUUAGGAAAUCCCAAGGAUUUGGAAUUGUUCUCAUCUAGUUCAGCUGAGCUGGGAUAUUUUUGCUCCCCGCCUCCUUUUUUUUUGAGGCAGGGCCUCAUUCUGUCACCCAUCUGUCACCCAGGAUGAAGUGCAGUGGCACAAUCAUGGCUCACUGCAGCCUCAAACUCCUGGGCUCAAAGGAUCCUCUCAUUUCAGCCUCCUGAGUAGCGAGGACUACAGUCAUAUGCCACCAUCAUG